GCAGGCUUAAACAUGCAAGUCGAGGGGUAACAUUGUGCUUGCACAGAUGACGACCGGCGCACGGGUGCGUAACGCGUAUAGAACCUACCUUUUACAGAGGAAUAGCCUUUAGAAAUGAAGAUUAAUGCCUCAUAGUAUUGAGUAUUCGCAUGAAUAUUUAAUUAAAGAUUUAUCGGUAAAAGAUGGCUAUGCGUCCUAUUAGUUAGUUGGUAAGGUAACGGCUUACCAAGACAGCGAUAGGUAGGGGUCCUGAGAGGGAGAUCCCCCACACUGGUACUGAGACACGGACCAGACUCCUACGGGAGGCAGCAGUGAGGAAUAUUGGACAAUGGAGGAGACUCUGAUCCAGCCAUGCCGCGUGUAGGAAGAAUGCCCUAUGGGUUGUAAACUACUUUUAUACAGGAAGAAACACUGGUAUGUAUACCAGCUUGACGGUACUGUAAGAAUAAGGACCGG
Molecule: ribosomal RNA, 456 nt
Filed under: uncultured Polaribacter sp.
Lineage: Bacteria; Pseudomonadati; Bacteroidota; Flavobacteriia; Flavobacteriales; Flavobacteriaceae
Description: bacterial SSU rRNA
Rfam family: Bacterial small subunit ribosomal RNA
Source: RNAcentral